Non-coding RNA from Aedes albopictus (Asian tiger mosquito), 58 nucleotides. NCBI's taxonomy places the organism in Eukaryota, Metazoa, Arthropoda, Insecta, Diptera, Culicidae. The record is from Rfam.
UAGCCUAGUGAUUAAGGCUAUGGAUCGCCAAUCCGGAGACAGCGGGUUCGAUUCCCGU